This is a non-coding RNA of Salvelinus sp. IW2-2015, 239 nucleotides long. The record is from RefSeq and is a predicted model, not a curated record. NCBI's taxonomy places the organism in Eukaryota, Metazoa, Chordata, Actinopteri, Salmoniformes, Salmonidae.
CUCCGCAGCCUACACACUCUCACCGCUUCUGGGAUGACGGACCACUGUUAAGACCCUCAGGAUGUUCAGCUGGGUGGUGAAGGGGGUUCCCCAGCCUCCUGGGAAACUAGGCGAUGAGGAGAAGACCAAUGCCCCACCUGCACCAGUAAAACAAGUAACAUUCAAAGAAGAGAAGAAACAAGAAGCUCUAAAACCUGCCAAGGCCAAAGAGGAGGAGGUCGCCGAGGAGAAUGGGUGAG